GGAAAGCUUUGAUCCGCAACUCCAGUUCUUGCCACUCGGCCGCAGCUUCGUUGUACUUCGGAGCCUUCUCGUCAUACCAUGCUCCGAUAACAGCGUCUGUUUCUUUUAGCAUACCAAAGAAGAUGACGAUGCCAAGUACAAUUCCAAUCAAAUACAUGGUCUGUGGAAUGUUGACCGUGACAUAUUUCUUAACAACAGGCUCCAUUACUUCACUACCUGCAAGAGCAGUAAGCAAUGAUAUCCCACCAGACACUGCUGCUCCAGCACAUCUGAUAUAGAAACCUUUGUCCUCAUAUUUACUCGAUGAGACGUAACACAUAGGAGCUGCUCUCAUACAUCUCACCUCAAUGUCUCUGAGGUUCAUAAAACUUCUCUCUAUAGCAGUGUUCUCAUCUUUAGCUGGACUGUUGUAAGAAUCAUCACUCAUAGUAUGCUUUUUCA
This is a long non-coding RNA of Haliotis rubra (blacklip abalone), 441 nucleotides long. RefSeq lists it as uncharacterized. Lineage: Eukaryota; Metazoa; Mollusca; Gastropoda; Lepetellida; Haliotidae. The record is from RefSeq and is a predicted model, not a curated record. The transcript has 3 exons.